AUGGCGCUAGCUGCAUGGCAUGGAUUAUUUGUUUUUGGUCUCUGGAUCUGUGUGAAGGAGAUUGGCAGGAUUGCGCCGUCAGAGAUUGACUGGGUUGAAGCUGGCGUCGUCUCCCCGAUUGUGAGGAAACAACAGAAUUGUGGCAGCUGUUGGGCCAUAGCUGUUGCAUCCUCGGUCGAAGCUGUACAUUACAUGAAUACCUUGCAGUCAGUCUCUUUGUCGGUUCAAGAGCUCAUCGACUGUGACACAGAGAACGAUGGGUGUGACGGGAGUCUCGAUGAUCUGCAGAAAUACAAAGGAGGCAUCCUGGAUUAUGAACCUAACGGAGACUACACCGGCAGCAGACAUGCUGUCCUGAUUGUUGGUUAUGGCACAGAUUCAGACGGUGUCAAGUACUGGCGCUUCAAGAACUCGUGGGGAGAAGACUGGGGUGAGGGUGGGUUUGGGAGGAUCCGCAGGCACAUUGCCGACAAGCGAGGUGUGUUGGGUAUUUUCAUGCACCAAGAGUAUAUCCACUGCUUAUGGACUGAUCAAUCUAUAUGGUUGCAUCUUUUGUUCGUAAAACUUGUAUCCCCUUCCUGGUUUCAUAUUUUUGCACCUCUGCUCGUGUAG
RNAcentral lists this ribosomal RNA (612 nucleotides) under Triticum aestivum (bread wheat). Its description in RNAcentral is "partial small subunit ribosomal RNA". The record is from RNAcentral. Lineage: Eukaryota; Viridiplantae; Streptophyta; Magnoliopsida; Poales; Poaceae.